Molecule: RNA transcript, 1005 nt
Organism: Coregonus clupeaformis (lake whitefish)
Lineage: Eukaryota; Metazoa; Chordata; Actinopteri; Salmoniformes; Salmonidae
Gene name: C-type lectin domain family 4 member E-like
Exons: 6
Source: RefSeq, a predicted model, not a curated record
AAGAUGCCACAAACAGGGCUUGCAAAGUAUAACUUCCUGCUUGAUGUUUAUUGGACACAUUCUAUCAACUGUAGUGGACCACAGACAGAGAUCAGAGAGGUACCUGGUGGAGAACACAUCAGACCAACUACUUAACUAUUUGUCAGUACAGUUAGAAUCAUACAGUAGAUAUUACCAUUAGGAGUCAGUUAGAAAGGUAAUCAUACAGUUAGGUCAGAUGGAUGACUACAUCAACAACCAGGUAACUGAAGAAAAUGAGAACAGAGCAACGAGGAGAGUGAAGACUGAGACCCAUCGCUCAGGACCUGAGGAUUCAGGGAGAAGACUCUACAGGAUGGUUGCUGUGAGCUUUGGGAUGCUGUGUUUUCUACAAGUCACUCUCAACAUCUUCCUGAGACUUGUCUAUAACAGAUGCAUCAAAGACUGAAGAGAAGCAUUUUUCUCUUUAUAAAACCAAUGCAGAUGCAGAGAGAGACCAGCUACAGACCAGUUACAACAACCUGACUAAAGAGAGAGACAGGCUUCAGAAAUUGCUUUGUGAGAAACCCUGUUGUUUUGAUGGAUGGAAGAAGUUUGACUGCAGUUGUUACUUCCUCUCUACUGAGGAGAAAACCUGGGAGGAGAGCAGACAGGACUGUGUAGACAGAGGAGCAGACCUGGUGAUAAUAAACAGAAGAGAGGAACAGGAGUUUCUCUUCAAUCUCAACAAGAGAGUCUGGAUUGGUCUGACUGACAGAGAGACAGAGGGGACCUGGAAAUGGGUGGAUGGAACAACACUGACCACAGAGUACUGGUAUGACCCACAGCCUAAUAAUUCAGGUCCUACUGGGGAGGACUGUGCUGAUAUAAACAACGAUCAGCGUCCUCUAAAGGCCUGGAAUGACUCGCCAUGUAACAGGAGACUCAACUGGAUUUGUGAGAAAGUGGUUUAACAUCACCAUGACAACAUACUGUAACACAUACAGUAGCCUACAGUGCACACAACUCUCUCUCUCUCUCUCUCUC